RNAcentral lists this ribosomal RNA (839 nucleotides) under uncultured Pseudomonadota bacterium. RNAcentral's name for it is "bacterial SSU rRNA". It matches the Rfam family "Bacterial small subunit ribosomal RNA", at positions 681 to 1533 of the family's 1533-position model. The record is from RNAcentral. Lineage: Bacteria; Pseudomonadati; Pseudomonadota.
GUGAAAUGCGUAGAUAUCGUAAGGAAGACCAUGGCGAAAGGCGGGUUUUUGACCAGUUCCUGACGUUGAGGCACGAAGGUCAGGGGAGCAAACGGGAUUAGAUACCCCGGUAGUCCUGACAGUAAACGGUGCACGUUUGGUGUGGGAGGAUUCGACCCCUUCUGCGCCGGAGCUAACGCGUUAAACGUGCCGCCUGGGGAGUACGGUCGCAAGAUUAAAACUCAAAGAAAUUGACGGGGGCCCGCACAAGCGGUGGAGUAUGUGGCUCAAUUCGAUGCAACGCGAAGAACCUUACCAGGCCUUGACAUGCAUUGCUAAGUUGGUGAAAGCCAGCGACUGGAGCAAUCCAGACCUUGCACAGGUGCUGCAUGGCUGUCGUCAGCUCGUGUCGUGAGAUGUUGGGUUAAGUCCCGCAACGAGCGCAACCCUCGUCUUUAGUUGCUACCAUUUAGUUGGGCACUCUAAAGAAACUGCCGGUGAUAAGCCGGAGGAAGGUGGGGAUGACGUCAAGUCCUCAUGGCCCUUACGCGCUGGGCUACACACGUGCUACAAUGGCGGUGACAGAGGGCUGCAAACCCGCGAGGGUGAGCUAAUCUCCAAAAGCCGUCUCAGUUCGGAUUGUUCUCUGCAACUCGAGAGCAUGAAGGCGGAAUCGCUAGUAAUCGCGGAUCAGCACGCCGCGGUGAAUACGUUCCCAGGCCUUGUACACACCGCCCGUCACACCAUGGGAGUUGGUUUCACCCGAAGGUGGUGCGCUAACCCGCAAGGGAGGCAGCCAACCACGGUGGGAUCAGCGACUGGGGUGAAGUCGUAACAAGGUAAAUCGAAUUCCCGCGGCC